UUCCGGUUGAUCCUGCCGGAGGCCAUUGCUAUUGGGAUCCGAUUUAGCCAUGCUAGUUGUACGAGUUCAGACUCGUAGCGAAUAGCUCAGUAACACGUGGCCAAACUACCCUUCGGACCACAAUACCCUCGGGAAACUGAGGCUAAUAGUGGAUCACACACUCACACUGGAAUGUCGAGUGUGUCAAACGCUCCGGCGCCGAAGGAUGUGGCUGCGGCCGAUUAGGUAGACGGUGGGGUAACGGCCCACCGUGCCAAUAAUCGGUACGGGUCAUGAGAGUGAGAACCCGGAGACGGAAUCUGAGACAAGAUUCCGGGCCCUACGGGGCGCAGCAGGCGCGAAACCUUUACACUGCACGCCAGUGCGAUAAGGGGAUCCCAAGUGCGUAGGCAUAGAGCCUACGCUUUUGUCCACCCUAGGGAGGUGGACGAAUAAGGGCUGGGCAAGACCGGUGCCAGCCGCCGCGGUAAUACCGGCAGCCCGAGUGAUGGCCGAUCUUAUUGGGCCUAAAGCGUCCGUAGCUGGCCGCGCAAGUCCAUCGGGAAAUCCACCCGCUCAACGGGUGGCCGUCCGGUGGAAACUGCACGGCUUGGGACCGGAAGGCGCGACGGGUACGUCCGGGGUAGGAGUGAAAUCCCGUAAUCCUGGACGGACCGCCGAUGGCGAAAGCACGUCGCGAGAACGGAUCCGACAGUGAGGGACGAAAGCCAGGGUCUCGAACCGGAUUAGAUACCCGGGUAGUC
This 743-nucleotide ribosomal RNA is filed under the name uncultured archaeon. RNAcentral describes it as "bacterial SSU rRNA". It matches the Rfam family "Archaeal small subunit ribosomal RNA", at positions 1 to 746 of the family's 1478-position model. The record is from RNAcentral.